RNAcentral lists this ribosomal RNA (253 nucleotides) under uncultured bacterium. RNAcentral's name for it is "partial 16S ribosomal RNA". It matches the Rfam family "Bacterial small subunit ribosomal RNA", at positions 524 to 776 of the family's 1533-position model. The record is from RNAcentral.
UACGUAGGUGGCAAGCGUUAUCCGGAUUUACUGGGUGUAAAGGGAGCGUAGACGGUAUGGCAAGUCUGAUGUGAAAACCCGGGGCUCAACCCCGGGACUGCAUUGGAAACUGUCGGACUAGAGUGUCGGAGAGGCAAGUGGAAUUCCUAGUGUAGCGGUGAAAUGCGUGGAUAUUAGGAGGAACACCAGUGGCGAAGGCGGCUUGCUGGACGAUGACUGACGUUGAGGCUCGAAAGCGUGGGGAGCAAACAGG